RNAcentral lists this ribosomal RNA (2384 nucleotides) under Sinorhizobium sojae CCBAU 05684. RNAcentral describes it as "LSU rRNA". It matches the Rfam family "Bacterial large subunit ribosomal RNA", at positions 71 to 2569 of the family's 2925-position model. Lineage: Bacteria; Pseudomonadati; Pseudomonadota; Alphaproteobacteria; Hyphomicrobiales; Rhizobiaceae. The record is from RNAcentral.
AUAAGCCGUGGGGAGCUGCGAAUGAGCUUUGAUCCAUGGAUCUCCGAAUGGGGAAACCCACCUUAGAUGCUUGGAAAAUUUAAGCCGUGCGAGAGCACGGCUUAGGUUUCCAAGCAUUGUUACAAGGUAUCUUAUUCUGAAUUCAAUAGGGAUAAGAAGCGAACGCAGGGAACUGAAACAUCUAAGUACCUGCAGGAAAGGACAUCAACCGAGACUCCGCAAGUAGUGGCGAGCGAACGCGGACCAGGCCAGUGGCAAUGAGGAAUGAAGUGGAACGAUCUGGAAAGGUCGGCCGUAGCGGGUGACAGCCCCGUACACGUAGAACACUCAUUGUCCUUGAGUAAGGCGGGACACGUGAAAUCCUGUCUGAACAUGGGGAGACCACUCUCCAAGCCUAAGUACUCGUGCAUGACCGAUAGCGAACAAGUACCGUGAGGGAAAGGUGAAAAGCACCCCGACAAGGGGAGUGAAAUAGAACCUGAAACCGGAUGCCUACAAACAGUCGGAGCCCGCAAGGGUGACGGCGUACCUUUUGUAUAAUGGGUCAACGACUUAGUGUGACAUGCAAGCUUAAGCCGGUAGGUGGAGGCGUAGCGAAAGCGAGUCUGAAUAGGGCGCCUUAGUAUGUCGCAUUAGACCCGAAACCGAGUGAUCUAGCCAUGAGCAGGUUGAAGGUUGGGUAACACCAACUGGAGGACCGAACCCGCAUCUGUUGCAAUAGAUUGGGAUGACUUGUGGCUAGGGGUGAAAGGCCAAUCAAACUCGGAAAUAGCUGGUUCUCCGCGAAAUCUAUUUAGGUAGAGCGUCGACCGAAUACCCCGGGGGUAGAGCACUGGAUGGGCUAUGGGGACUCACCGUCUUACUGAUCCUAACCAAACUCCGAAUACCGGGGAGUACUAGUCGGCAGACACACGGCGGGUGCUAACGUCCGUCGUGAAGAGGGCAACAACCCUGACCUCCAGCUAAGGUCCCCAAGUCAUGGCUAAGUGGGAAAGGAUGUGAGGAUCCCAAAACAACCAGGAUGUUGGCUUAGAAGCAGCCAUCAUUUAAAGAAAGCGUAACAGCUCACUGGUCUAAACAAGGGUCUUUGCGCCGAAAAUGUAACGGGGCUGAAGCCAUGCACCGAAGCUGAGGAUUUGAUCGCAAGAUCAAGUGGUAGCGGAGCGUUCCGUAAGCCUGUGAAGGGAUACCCGUGAGGGGUCCUGGAGGUAUCGGAAGUGCGAAUGUUGACAUGAGUAACGAUAAAGAGGGUGAGAGACCCUCUCGCCGAAAGACCAAGGGUUCCUGCUUAAAGUUAAUCUGAGCAGGGUUAGCCGGCCCCUAAGACGAGGCGGACACGCGUAGUCGAUGGGAACCACGUUAAUAUUCGUGGGCCUGGUGGUAGUGACGGAUCGCUUAACUUGUCCGGACUUAAUGGAUUGUCCGGGCUUGGACGCGGUCCCAGGAAAUAGCUCCACCGUAUAGACCGUACCCGAAACCGACACAGGUGGUCAGGUAGAGUAUACCAAGGCGCUUGAGAGAACUGCGUUGAAGGAACUCGGCAAAUUGCACGCGUAACUUCGGAAGAAGCGUGACCCCAUUAUGGGCAACCAUGAUGGGGUGGCACAGACCAGGGGGUAGCGACUGUUUAUCAAAAACACAGGGCUCUGCGAAGUCGCAAGACGACGUAUAGGGUCUGACGCCUGCCCGGUGCUGGAAGGUUAAGAGGAGGGGUGCAAGCUCUGAAUCGAAGCCCCAGUAAACGGCGGCCGUAACUAUAACGGUCCUAAGGUAGCGAAAUUCCUUGUCGGGUAAGUUCCGACCUGCACGAAUGGCGUAACGACUUCCCCGCUGUCUCCAACGCAGACUCAGUGAAAUUGAAUUCCCCGUGAAGAUGCGGGGUUCCUGCGGUCAGACGGAAAGACCCCGUGCACCUUUACUAUAGCUUUACACUGGCAUUCGUGUCGGCAUGUGUAGGAUAGGUGGUAGGCUUUGAAGCAGGGACGCCAGUUCCUGUGGAGCCGUCCUUGAAAUACCACCCUUAUCGUCAUGGAUGUCUAACCGCGGUCCGUCAUCCGGAUCCGGGACAGUGUAUGGUGGGUAGUUUGACUGGGGCGGUCGCCUCCGAAAGAGUAACGGAGGCGCGCGAUGGUGGGCUCAGAGCGGUCGGAAAUCGCUCGUCGAGUGCAAUGGCAUAAGCCCGCCUGACUGCGAGACUGACAAGUCGAGCAGAGACGAAAGUCGGUCAUAGUGAUCCGGUGGUCCCGCGUGGAAGGGCCAUCGCUCAACGGAUAAAAGGUACGCCGGGGAUAACAGGCUGAUGACCCCCAAGAGUCCAUAUCGACGGGGUUGUUUGGCACCUCGAUGUCGGCUCAUCGCAUCCUGGGGCUGGAGCAGGUCCCAAG